UUUUGUCUUGAUCCUUCAGAUUUCAGUAAAAGAUUGAUUUUUCCCUCCAACAAUUAAACUUCCCUGCUAUUCUUACAAUUGUGCAGAACGAUACCAGUUAGAUUAGUGAUAAAUUGCUUAAUUUUUUUUCUGAGCAUGAUGUCUGUUGAUUUUGUAACACUAAGCAUUUUCUUUUUUUGUCUGUCAUGUAUUUUUGGCUGUUUAAGCCAUACAGAGGCAUGUCAUGUAUUUGUUGUACGACAAAUUUGCUAUUCUUAAGGAAAACCACACUGGUUGUGUUGGAGGUAGAAUAUGUGGACGUGGGCCACUAUUCUGUGGCUUUAGCUUCAACUUUUUCUGGUCAUUGCAUACAAAGAAAAAAAAUUUGCAGACAAAGCUAUUUCUGUGAAAAACGGAGAUAUUUCUCUUUGCAUGGAGAAUAGAACAAAGCCUCCAGCAGAAAACUUAGCAGUGCUGCAUAAAAAGAAGUUGUAUGUGAUUAAAUGAAUGAAUGCACAGUUUAUUUUUAACCCUUGUGAAGAACAACCUGCAAUAACCCUUUUACCCUUUAGCUUUAUGCCCACUGUUCUUGUCUUCCUCUUCCAUGCUUUUUUUCACCACUUUCUCUGAGUGCUUAAUUGGAGACCUUGGAGGAGAUACUUCUUCUGGGCUGGCUCCCUGGGAGUUGCAAGAGGGACAGAGGGACAGAGAGCUACAACUCGAGAGGGCAGAUCCAGCAGGUCCUAAAACACAUGAGAGCUCCAAGAGAACUGGCUGAAUUCUCCUCUAAAGGCAAAAUCCACGACCACAGAAUCAUUGGAUCAUUUAGUUUGGAAAAGACCUCUGAGAACAUCAAGUCCAAGCAUGCACCCAGCCCCUCCAUGUUCACCGAUAAACCAUGACCACAUCCACAUGCUUUUUUGAGCACUUCCAGGGAUGGUGAUUCCACCACCACUUGGGCAGCCUGUUCCAAUACCUGAUCACUCUUUCACUGAACAAAUUUUUCUAAUAUCCAAUCUAAACCUUCUCUGGCACAGCUUGAGGCUGUUUAGUUUAAACCUGUCACUUGUCACUUCGGAUAAGAAACCAAUCCCCACAACCUCCUUCCAGGAGAUGUCAAGAGAGAGCAUCCCACUGAAUCUCCUCCAGGCCAAACAACCACAACUCCCACAGCCACUCCUCAUAAAUCUCACUCUCUAGACCCUUCCUGCUCCAUUGCCCUUCUCUGCACCCACUCCUGCACCUCAGUGUCCUUCCUGAAUUGAGGGGCCCAGAACUGGGCACAGGGUUCAAGGUGUGGCCUCUCCAGUGCUGACUGCAGAGGGACCAGCACUGGCCUGCUCCUGCUGAUCACGGUUUCUGGUACAGAACAUUGGCCUUUUUGGCUCCCUGGGCUGGCUCACGUACAGCAACUGUUGAUCAGCACCCCCAGGUCAUUUUGUGCUGGACCCUUUUCCAGCCACUUGCCCCAGUUGUGGUGCUGCAUGGGGUUGUUGUGACCCAAAUGCAGGACAUGGCACUUCACCUUAUUGACACUCAUACAACUGGCCUCAGCCUGCUGAUCCAGCCUGUCCAGAUCCUUCUGCACAUCCUUCCUACUUUACAGCAGAUUGGCACUUCCCCCCAGCCUGGUGUUGUCUGGAAGCUGACUGUCUUCAAUACCCUCGUCCAACUCAUUACUAAAGAUAUUAAACAGGACUUUUCCCAAAACUGAGCCCUGGGGAGCACUGAUGGGUCUGUGGUGGGAGUCAAAGACUGCACGGAGAAUUCACUGUUUUUUCAAUACAUGCUGUUAAACCUUAAUGCAGUUCAACAUUUUUGCCUCUGUCCUACUGAUGGGAAGGUAAGAAAUUUCAUGUCUUCCUAACAUUAGUAGUUGCUGCAGUGGCUGCUGCCCUCUCCUGCCCUUCUCUGCAGCACCUUACAUGUGUUGAGAAUUAUGGCUCUACACAGGGAAAGCAUUGCUGUUCACACAGCUUGGUCUCUGGGUGUUCCCUUCCAGUUAGUGUAGCUGUAAAUGUCUUCAUUAUCUAUAUACACGUAUAGAAACCACAGUACAGAAAUUCCUCCACAGGCCAAGUACCAAGAGACAAGGAAUGAAGGAGUGAGCUGCUUUGUCUCACAUUUCUUCAGAGCUGGGGGUACUUCAGAGCUGUGAGAGUUUGAGCUGGAGAAAGCUUCCUGAAGAUAAACUGAUCUUGCAGGGGUUGGGAUUGCUGGCUAAGAGAUAGCAGAUGCCUCUGUUUGGAAAGUACUCUCUAAAGAGCAUUUCAGAAUCUUAGGUUGUUGCAAACCUUCAAUUUACAAUCCCUGUCUACAAAGUCUCCCAUAUGAAAAGUCUAAGCCUUGCAUUAGUAAAGCAGACCUGUGUAUAGACUGGGCACAGAAAUUUUCAUCCAGAAUCUACGUUGUCUUGUGUAUUAUUAAUAGUUCAUUUACAAAAUAAAAGUGGGAAUAUCAGCUGAAUUCCUUGGGAUUUUUUUAUUUAUUGUAAAAUUCAGAUGGCUACAAGACAAUUACAAUAAGAUAGAAAACCCAAAAAAUUGACACUGCAGCAAAUGCCAAUACGAUCUUCAGUGAGUGGAACCAUGAGGCUCUUCUAGGCUCAUGCAUAUUCUCUUUUAAAUGUAUAUGUGAAAAUGUGUACACAUUUCUUCCCUCCUUACCCAAGAUAUUCACAGCAUUGUUACUUACGUUAAAAAUUGUCUUCCUCUUCUUUUGACCAUUUAUUGACAUAGUUCCCUUGAAAUAAAGAAA
This is a long non-coding RNA of Catharus ustulatus (Swainson's thrush), 2736 nucleotides long. RefSeq lists it as uncharacterized. The record is from RefSeq and is a predicted model, not a curated record. Lineage: Eukaryota; Metazoa; Chordata; Aves; Passeriformes; Turdidae. The transcript is spliced from 2 exons.